GACGAACGCUGGCGGCGCGCCUCAUACAUGCAAGUCGAACGUGAAGCCCGGAGCUUGCUCCGGGUGGAAAGUGGCGAACGGGUGAGGAACACGUGAGGAACCUGCCCCGAAGACCGGGAUAACACCGGGAAACCGGUGCUAAUACCGGAUGCCCUCAUCGGAUCUCAUGGUACGAUGAGGAAAUGGAUUCCGCUUCGGGAUGGCCUCGCGGCCUAUCAGUUUGUUGGUGGGGUAACGGCCCACCAAGGCUUCGACGGUUAGCUGGUCAGAGGGGAUUUCCAGCCACACUGGGUCUGAGACACGGCCAAGACUCCUACUGGCGGCAGCAGUAGGGAAUCUUGCGAAAUGUGCGAAAGCCUGACGCAGCGACGCCGCGUGCGGGAUGAAGGCCCUCGGGUCGUAAACCGCUUUCAGCAGGGACGAAAUUGACGGUAACUGCAGAAGAAGCCCCGGCCAACUACGUGCCAGCCGCCGCUGUAA
RNAcentral lists this ribosomal RNA (480 nucleotides) under uncultured bacterium. RNAcentral's name for it is "partial 16S ribosomal RNA". It matches the Rfam family "Bacterial small subunit ribosomal RNA", at positions 28 to 523 of the family's 1533-position model. The record is from RNAcentral.